Molecule: small RNA, 141 nt
Filed under: Flavobacterium frigidimaris
Lineage: Bacteria; Pseudomonadati; Bacteroidota; Flavobacteriia; Flavobacteriales; Flavobacteriaceae
Description: Flavo-1 RNA
Rfam family: Flavo-1 RNA
Source: RNAcentral
UUUUAGCCCAGAUGGAAGUGAAAACCCCGGACUUAUAUUGGUUAGUUUUUUUAGGAUAAAUGAGCGACUUUAGAAGCUCCUUUUAUACUUUUAAAAAACAACAAAGAUAAGGAGGAGUUGUAAUGUACAGCUGGAAUAGCU